CUGCUCAGGAUGAACGCCGGCGGUGUGCCUAAUACAUGCAAGUCGAACGCGUUGGCCCAAUUGAUUGAUGGUGCUUGCACCUGAUUGAUUUUGGUCGCCAACGAGUGGCGGACGGGUGAGUAACACGUAGGUAACCUGCCCAGAAGCGGGGGACAACAUUUGGAAACAGAUGCUAAUACCGCAUAACAACGUUGUUCGCAUGAACAACGCUUAAAAGAUGGCUUCUCGCUAUCACUUCUGGAUGGACCUGCGGUGCAUUAGCUUGUUGGUGGGGUAAUGGCCUACCAAGGCGAUGAUGCAUAGCCGAGUUGAGAGACUGAUCGGCCACAAUGGGACUGAGACACGGCCCAUACUCCUACGGGAGGCAGCAGUAGGGAAUCUUCCACAAUGGGCGCAAGCCUGAUGGAGCAACACCGCGUGAGUGAAGAAGGGUUUCGGCUCGUAAAGCUCUGUUGUUAAAGAAGAACACGUAUGAGAGUAACUGUUCAUACGUUGACGGUAUUUAACCAGAAAGUCACGGCUAACUACGUGCCAGCAGCCGCGGUAAUACGUAGGUGGCAAGCGUUAUCCGGAUUUAUUGGGCGUAAAGAGAGUGCAGGCGGUUUUCUAAGUCUGAUGUGAAAGCCUUCGGCUUAACCGGAGAAGUGCAUCGGAAACUGGAUAACUUGAGUGCAGAAGAGGGUAGUGGAACUCCAUGUGUAGCGGUGGAAUGCGUAGAUAUAUGGAAGAACACCAGUGGCGAAGGCGGCUACCUGGUCUGCAACUGACGCUGAGACUCGAAAGCAUGGGUAGCGAACAGGAUUAGAUACCCUGGUAGUCCAUGCCGUAAACGAUGAGUGCUAGGUGUUGGAGGGUUUCCGCCCUUCAGUGCCGGAGCUAACGCAUUAAGCACUCCGACGGG
RNAcentral lists this ribosomal RNA (901 nucleotides) under Limosilactobacillus fermentum. Its description in RNAcentral is "bacterial SSU rRNA". It matches the Rfam family "Bacterial small subunit ribosomal RNA", at positions 20 to 876 of the family's 1533-position model. Lineage: Bacteria; Bacillati; Bacillota; Bacilli; Lactobacillales; Lactobacillaceae. The record is from RNAcentral.